UCAAAGGCAUAUUCAAUCACUUUCACCAGGCUAUAUUUAGAAGUAAGAAUGUCCCAGUAUAUUGUAUGUCAUUGUAGGUAUAUUUUAGAGAGAAUUUUGAUCAUAGCUACAAAUCAAAUGCAUUUCUUGUAAACUUGUAAUGAGAAAAUUCCAUCUACCAGAUUAGAUUCUGAUGAGCAAUGUUUCAUUGCACUUUCACUAAUAAUCUGUGUGCACUUAGGCAAGUCACUUCACGUCUCUAAUCCACAAUAUUUCGGACAAAUGAAAGGUAAGCGAGGAGACAAUGUCUAAGAUGCUUUUUUUUUAAACUCUAAAAUCUAUUCUAUCUCUAUAAAUUCCAAUUCUAUUCUAUCUGUAGAAUUUAAAUUCAAGGCCUCUACUUCCUCUUUCUCCUAUUUGAAAGAUCCUUCCAGUUAUUUUUAUUCUGAUUCUUACUCCCAAAUUCUCUCUGCCCCCUAUGGUUUCUCCAUUACCAGCAGAUACUAUUACAUGCUUUCAUGGACAGUGAUUGGUGAAGGAAAUAUUGAUUGCACUUCUCUUUUGCUGCUUUCAGAGACAUAUCUUGGGUGGUUUUAUCACCCUCAUGAACCUUGUCUAGAGAAUGGGUGUAGAGGUUUGAAGAUAGAGGUGCAGAUAAGUAAAACCUGAGUUGGUUUCCUAACACAGGGCUUACAUUUUCCAUCAAUUCAGUCAAUUAAAUACCUAGCAAAUAUAUGAUAGACUAGACAUAGUUCUUGGCCUUAAGAAAUGUAUACACUCUACAAAAAAAGUUGGUGCUGAUUUGGAGUUCCCAUUGUGGAUCAGCAGGUUAAGGACUCGACAUAGUCUCCUUCAGGAUAUGGGUUUGAUCCCUGGCCUUGCUCAGUGGAUUAAGGAGCUGACAUUGCUGCAAGCUGUGGUAUAGGUCACAGAGGUGGCUUGAAUCCAGUAUUGCUGUGGCUAUGGCAUAGGUCGGCAGCUGCAGCUUCGAUUUAACCCCAUAGCCUGGGAACUUCCAUGUGCCACAGGUGUGGUGGCCAUAUAAAGAAAAAAAAAGUAAUUGUGUUAGAAGUUAGAAGUGCAUGGAAGGAAGAUUUGGGUUUGGCUUAGUCAGCAGAAUCUAAUGGAGGAAAUUUGAUUUACAGAGUGUAUUUAAGGAAGAAUAAUAUGUGUGAUUCUUUGAUGCAUAACUCAUUCAACAAAACACUUACUUAGUGGCUAUGAUGCAUCUUCUCUAAAUGCUGGGAAUACAGCAGUGGGCAAAAUGGGAAAAAACUUUGUCCAUACAGAGCUUUCCUUCUGAUAGAGGUGUGUAAGAGAAAAUAAGUUAAAAAAAUAUAUAUACUACAUCAAAUGAUGAUAAGAACUAUAGAAUUAAAAGGAUACUUUGGUUGGUAAAUUAGGUAUUGAGAAUGAUCUAAGAAGUGAUAUAAUCAGACCAUUCCAGGCUAACAUUUGUCCUAUAUGUUUAGAGGGGUUAAGUAACAUAGCUAAGGUCACCCAGCUUAUUAGCAAGAAAGGAAUAAAACCCAGGCUUAUCAGCUCCUACUCUAGUGUUCUUUUUACUCUUUACAAUCAUGCACACACCUUCUAGAUGGUCAAAUCAUACAGUUCAAGAGGUGGGAGUAAAGAGCUUGUGUGGAACCCAAGGAGGCAGAUACUUUGUGUUGGGGGAAAGUGGAAGAUAUGAUUAAAUGGGAAGGAAAUGCCAAAUCUGGAAAGGCAGACAGUGAAGUUCAGCUUUGAUAUGGUGAUAAGAAAUGAAUAAAAUGAUCUUUAGAAAAGUUUGACAACAUUUAGUUGAUUAUUAAUUUGCCAGAUUAAAAAAUGCUUCUCUGGUGUGACUGCCCUCUUCUCCCUUUCCUUCUCUCCAUCAUAGUUCCCUGAAAAAUAAUUCCUUUGUCUAAUGCUAUUUACCAUCAGGUGGAGCAGUUAUAUGUUUCAAGAAUAUCAAAGACACUGGCUAUGGUUUAUUUCAAAACUAGAAAGAAGGCAUUUUGGGUAAACACAAAUAUUUUACUGCAGCUCCACAUUUAGGGAUUAAACUGCUGGUGAAAUGAAUGUAGAAUGAGAACUAAAUCUAGACAUUAGAUUUGGAUAAAGUGAGCAAGUUGAAUCAGAUGUAAAUUAAGAGAUGUGGCUACUCAUACUUGCAUCAUAAAUUGGGAGCUAAGUACUAAAUUUCCUUCAGAAGCUAAUACAUAAAUUAUAAACCAGAUCAUACAUUUCCUUAAGUGCAGCAGUCAUUGUUGCUGAUUCAUUUUCAAAUUUCCAAUAAUUAAGAGAGAAAGAGAGAGUAUGAGUGAGAGAAACCACCAACAAAAUGUACAAAUGAGGGUUUAUUUGCAUAUAUGAAGACUCUGUAACAGCAAUGUAAGUGCAGAAAUAGCUUUAGUUUUCACUUUUCUUUGAGAAAGAACAGGAACUUCAAGUAGGAAGAAAAUACAUGCAUUAAAAUACUUAUCACAGGUUCAACAAUCAGAAAAUUAUCAAAUAGGGCAAAUAAACCUUAUGGUUAUAGCUGCUGAUAACAUGUUAGAUAUGGUGCUUACUUUGGCCUAAAUCUAGUGCAGGUCUUAUUUUGGAUGUGAUGGGUAUUUUGGAAAGGCUCCAAGGUCUUUUGUAUAAGGUUAUAGACAGGGAAUUUUGAGCCUUUAUUAUAUGGGGGUCAUAGUACAUUCAAGGAUCUAACUAUGCAUUUUGGGGGCCAAGCAAUUUUUAGAAAAUGUUCUAAGCCCGUGGAUCUGUAAGUCCAAAAAGAUAUUCAGUCCAGUACAUAGGCUACUUAGGUUUUCCUGCUCUAUGAUUAGGGUAGGGGUGGGAGUAUUAGCUCUAAUACUUGUAGGUCAUCGACUAUUGAAGUUUUUCCACCGAAAGACCAGAAUUACUGGCAUAAUUAAUGUGAAGCAACUGUUACCCAAGAGGGUCCCUCCUACACAUUCACUUUAUUUCAGGCUUCUGGCUGUCUUGGGGUUAAUGAUUCAUAAAACAAAAAGACUGUCAGCAGUAGGAAAAAUAUGUCACUGAAAUUAAGCACGGUAUUGGAGGUCAAAGGAGGAGUUACCCUCAGGCCUUCAUGCAAAGCAAUGUAUAGACACUCAGUCAUAAGUAUAGAAAGGUUCAGGCACAAGAUAGAUGGUCAUUACCUAUUUUACUUCCUUUCAGUAUUCAUGCCAAAUGUUUAUAUCUGAGAUAAUCGAAUGUAUAUGGGAGGAAAAGUUUAAAUAGCUUGAAAACUCUUUUAGGUAACUAUAUGAUGCUACAUAGCUCUCCUGCUGGCUCACAAUAAUGGUUCUGAGUGGUCCAGAAAUUAUUUCAGGAGUUCCUGUCAUGGCUCGGCAGUUAAUGAACCUGACUAGCAUCCAUGAGGACACGGGUUCGAUCCCUGGCCUCUCUCAGUGAGUUAAGGAUCUGGCAUUGCCGUGAGCCAUGGUGUAGGUUGCAGACGUGGCUUGGAUCCCAAGCUGCUGUGGCUUUGUUGUGGCCAGCGGCUACAGCUCCAAUUGGAUCCCUAGCCUGGAAACCUCCAUAUGCUGUGGGUGCAGCCCU
This 3528-nucleotide long non-coding RNA is filed under the name Sus scrofa (pig). RNAcentral's name for it is "lncRNA (ENSSSCG00035015785.1, ENSSSCG00045005320.1)". Lineage: Eukaryota; Metazoa; Chordata; Mammalia; Artiodactyla; Suidae. The record is from RNAcentral.